Molecule: ribosomal RNA, 226 nt
Filed under: uncultured bacterium
Lineage: Bacteria
Description: partial 16S ribosomal RNA
Rfam family: Bacterial small subunit ribosomal RNA
Source: RNAcentral
UACGAGGGGGGCAAGCGUUGUUCGGAUUUAUUGGGCGUAAAGGGUGCGUAGGCGGUUUGGCAAGUCUUGUGUGAAAUCUUCGGGCUCAACCCGAAGCCUGCAUAAGAAACUGCCGGGCUUGAGUAUGGGAGAGGUGAGUGGAAUUUCCGGUGUAGCGGUGAAAUGCGUAGAUAAUCGGAAGGAACACCUGUGGCGAAAGCGGCUCACUGGACCAUAACUGACGCUG